UGGGGAAUAUUGCGCAAUGGGCGAAAGCCUGACGCAGCGACGCCGCGUGGGGGAUGAAGCUUCUCGGAGUGUAAACCCCUUUCGACCCGGACGAAUGACCCGCAAGGGUUUGACGGUACGGGUAUAAGAAGCCCCGGCUAACUACGUGCCAGCAGCCGCGGUAAUACGUAGGGGGCCAGCGUUGCUCGGAAUUACUGGGCGUAAAGGGUUCGUAGGUGGUGCGGCAAGUUGGGAGUGAAAUCUCUGGGCUUAACCCAGAGGCUGCUUUCAAAACUGCCGCGCUCGAGUGCGAGAGAGGUCAGUGGAAUUGCAGGUGUAGCGGUGAAAUGCGUAGAUAUCUGCAGGAACACCCGUGGCGAAGGCGGCUGACUGGAUCGCAACUGACACUGAGGAACGAAAGCUAGGGGAGCAAACAGGAUUAGAUACCCUGGUAGUCCUAGCCCUAAACCAUCGGAACUUGGGGUGGCCCGCGUAGGCGAGUCGUCCCGUAGCUAACGCGUUAAGU
Molecule: ribosomal RNA, 505 nt
Filed under: uncultured bacterium
Lineage: Bacteria
Description: bacterial SSU rRNA
Rfam family: Bacterial small subunit ribosomal RNA
Source: RNAcentral